GAGCCGUGCCCGUGAGCCGGUAUCCGUGACGGCCACCUGCCCCAGCCCUCGAUAAUUGCAUCCCCACCCGUGCUCCCCCCUCACAACCAACACAGCUCCAAAGAAAUCCCCAUCGCCGCCGCUCCCUCCCACCUUGUUCACUCGCCGCCAUGUCCGCCGCGUCAUCCUCCCCCCUCACCGUCCCAACUGACUUCCUGCUGCCUCUCAACCCGGUAUCCUUUUUGCGGCGACGAGAUCGCGACGAACUUCGCAAGGACGGGAGACAAGGCGGGUCAUUGGUUCUACAAGUGUAGAAAAUACGAUGCCCGCCAGUGCCGAUUCUUCGAUGCCAGAAGGCGUACGUGAGGAGGCUAACUCCGCUUCAGCUUGCCCGUGCUUAGAAGCAACAAGCAAGUCGACAUUCACCAAGCCGUGCAGAUGGUCCAUGCUGCCAACCAACCCCCAUGUGCAGCAAGGCGAUGGAGGGCAGAUAGCCACCCAAUCCAGUCUUUGCCACCGCGGUCUCGGCCAGGGCAGACUUUGUAUCAAACUGAUCAACUACAAGCCGCCGUUGCAUCCCGUUCCCAAAUGCUUGUAGUUGCCGCUCUGCUGCUUGCAGCUGCCAAUCUCAUGCUUACCAUGCUUGUUCUUCUGUUUGUAGUCGCCAGGUACUUUGGCUCGGUAAUUAAUGUGUUCAGAGCUGUUUACUGAGUUGCCGUGCGAACGGCCAGAAGGCGUCAACCAUGUCAGGGUGGCUCCCUGUACCUCAAGCCUGUUUCACCUAAAAUAGAACUUUAUUGGCAGCAUCAUAUGUAAUGAUAGUAACUAUGUUAAGUAUGCUUGUUACUGGCUGUCAUUGAAAUUAAUUCUGUGUAAUGAAAUUUCUUAUUGUUAUGCUAUUACACAAUUUGUUAUAUAAGAGAACUCUCCCUUAAUUAUGUCUUUGUUGAUCAGUUCGAUACAAAUUUUGGUUGUACAUAGACUGAAGUAGCAAAUGUAUUAUAUAUUACUAGUAUUAUUUUUCAUUUCAGUUUGUUAACCCAAAUAUUUCUUUAUUAUUUUGCUUCACUAGUGAUACAUAAGACAUUGAUAUUUGAAAGGUGCAUAAGCUUCCACACCAACAGUCGAUGGGAACAACCAGAAUCAUGCAUUGGUGUCUCGAAACAUUUUCUGCAUUUGAAAGUAGUGAGAGUAUGUAACCAGUUACUUUGUCGGCAUUUAACAAAUCGAAGAAGAUAUGCACCAGGUUUUUCAGGUUAAUUUUCUACAGUCAUACAUAUCAAGUUGUUCCAUUCGGAAUGCAAAUCUUUUUCUGCAAGCACCAGCGACUACGGCUUCGGCGAUGACUGUCGUUUCCUCCAUCACUUCCCCACCAUGGACACGAUCAGGCUAUUUGCGAAAAAAGAUGAACAAUUGAACCUAGGCAGUGAGGGGGAGCUCGGGAAGCCAAUGUGUUUUGGCAGCAACUUCAAGACCAGGCUAUGCAUGAGCUUUGUCGCCGGCGGAGGCCACUUGGCCUAUGGCAAAGUUGAGCUGCGCAGGCCAAACGCAUCUUCAGAAGUCCAAGAUCAAGUGGUUUUCAUGGUGUUUGUGAUGAUCGUGUGUCUGCUAUUUUGCAGAAAUGCCUAAAUAGAAGGUUGUCUAUUCUUGUUGUAGUCCAUUUUUUCGGUUCAAUGAAGGCAUGAUAGGCAAGGCAACAAAAAUGGAUUGAACAGGAACUCACUGUAUCUCUUAUUUUAUUCCUCGAAUUCUAACUGAAUAGUACAAUUCUUCAUGUAGCUGGA
Aegilops tauschii subsp. strangulata is the source of this 1763-nucleotide long non-coding RNA. RefSeq lists it as uncharacterized. The record is from RefSeq and is a predicted model, not a curated record. NCBI's taxonomy places the organism in Eukaryota, Viridiplantae, Streptophyta, Magnoliopsida, Poales, Poaceae.